RNAcentral lists this ribosomal RNA (702 nucleotides) under uncultured bacterium. Its description in RNAcentral is "bacterial SSU rRNA". It matches the Rfam family "Bacterial small subunit ribosomal RNA", at positions 57 to 772 of the family's 1533-position model. The record is from RNAcentral.
GCAAGUCGAACGAGAGAUGAGGAGCUUGCUCUUCAAAUCGAGUGGCGAACGGGUGAGUAACGCGUGAGGAACCUGCCUCAAAGAGGGGGACAACAGUUGGAAACGACUGCUAAUACCGCAUAAGCCCACGGCUCGGCAUCGAGCAGAGGGAAAAGGAGCAAUCCGCUUUGAGAUGGCCUCGCGUCCGAUUAGCUAGUUGGUGAGGUAACGGCCCACCAAGGCGACGAUCGGUAGCCGGACUGAGAGGUUGAACGGCCACAUUGGGACUGAGACACGGCCCAGACUCCUACGGGAGGCAGCAGUGGGGAAUAUUGCACAAUGGGGGAAACCCUGAUGCAGCGACGCCGCGUGGAGGAAGAAGGUCUUCGGAUUGUAAACUCCUGUUGUUGAGGAAGAUAACGACGGUACUCAACAAGGAAGUGACGGCUAACUACGUGCCAGCAGCCGCGGUAAAACGUAGGUCACAAGCGUUGUCCGGAAUUACUGGGUGUAAAGGGAGCGCAGGCGGGAGAACAAGUUGAAAGUGAAAUCCAUGGGCCCAACCCAUGAACUACUUUCAAAACUGUUUUUCUUGAGUAGUGCAGAGGUAGGCGGAAUUCCCGGUGUAGCGGUGGAAUGCGUAGAUAUCGGGAGGAACACCAGUGGCGAAGGCGGCCUACUGGGCACCAACUGACGCUGAGGCUCGAAAGUGUGGGUAGCAAA